GACGAACGCUGGCGGCGUGCUUAACACAUGCAAGUCGAACGGAAAGGCCCUGCUCUUGUGGGGUGCUCGAGUGGCGAACGGGUGAGUAACACGUGAGUAACCUGCCCUUGACUUUGGGAUAACUUCAGGAAACUGGGGCUAAUACCGGAUAGGAGCUCCUGCUGCAUGGUGGGGGUUGGAAAGUUUCGGCGGUUGGGGAUGGACUCGCGGCUUAUCAGCUUGUUGGUGGGGUAGUGGCUUACCAAGGCUUUGACGGGUAGCCGGCCUGAGAGGGGGACCGGCCACAAUGGGACUGAGAUACGGCCCAGACUCCUACGGGAGGCAGAAGUGGGGAAUAUUGCGCAAUGGGCGGAAGCCUGAUGCGGCAACGCCGCGUGCGGGAUGACGGCCUUCGGGUUGUAAACCGCUUUCGCCUGUGACGAGGCGUGAGUGACGGUAAUUGGUAAAGAAGCACCGGCUAACUACGUG
This 468-nucleotide ribosomal RNA is filed under the name uncultured bacterium. Its description in RNAcentral is "partial 16S ribosomal RNA". It matches the Rfam family "Bacterial small subunit ribosomal RNA", at positions 28 to 507 of the family's 1533-position model. The record is from RNAcentral.